AGAGUGAACGCUGGCGGUAGGCCUAACACAUGCAAGUCGAACGGCAGCACAGUAAGAGCUUGCUCUUAUGGGUGGCGAGUGGCGGACGGGUGAGGAAUACAUCGGAAUCUACCUUUUCGUGGGGGAUAACGUAGGGAAACUUACGCUAAUACCGCAUAAGACCUUCGGGUGAAAGCCGGGGACCUUCGGGCCUGGCGCGGAUAGAUGAGUUCCGAUGUCGGAUUAGCUUG
Molecule: ribosomal RNA, 230 nt
Filed under: uncultured soil bacterium
Lineage: Bacteria
Description: partial 16S ribosomal RNA
Rfam family: Bacterial small subunit ribosomal RNA
Source: RNAcentral